Molecule: ribosomal RNA, 549 nt
Filed under: uncultured Glomus
Lineage: Eukaryota; Fungi; Glomeromycota; Glomeromycetes; Glomerales; Glomeraceae
Description: SSU rRNA
Rfam family: Eukaryotic small subunit ribosomal RNA
Source: RNAcentral
UUGGAGGGCAAGUCUGGUGCCAGCAGCCGCGGUAAUUCCAGCUCCAAUAGCGUAUAUUAAAGUUGUUGCAGUUAAAAAGCUCGUAGUUGAAUUUCGGGGUCAGUAGGUUGGUCAUGCCUCAGGAAUGUACUGAUCUUACUGAUUCCUCCUUCCUGAUGAACCGUAAUGCCAUUAAUUUGGUGUUGCGGGGAAACUGGACUGUUACUUUGAAAAAAUUAGAGUGUUUAAAGCAGGCUAACGCUUGAAUACUUUAGCAUGGAAUAAUGAAAUAGGACGUUCGAUCCUAUUUUGUUGGUUUCUAGGAUUGACGUAAUGAUUAAUAUGGAUAGUUGGGGGCAUUAGUAUUCAAUUGUCAGAGGUGAAAUUCUCGGAUUUAUUGAAGACUAACUACUGCGAAAGCAUUUGCCAAGGAUGUUUUCAUUAAUCAAGAACGAAAGUUAGGGGAUCGAAGACGAUCAGAUACCGUCGUAGUCUUAACCAUAAACUAUGCCGACUAGGGAUCGGAUGAUGUUAAUUUUUUAAUGACUCAUUCGGCGCCUUACGGGAAAC